AGAGUUUGAUCAUGGCUCAGAUUGAACGCCGGCGGCAUGCCUUACACAUGCAAGUCGAACGGCAGCACGGACUUCGGUCUGGUGGCGAGUGGCGAACGGGUGAGUAAUAUAUCGGAACAUACCCAGUAGUGGGGGAUAACUAUCCGAAAGGAUAGCUAAUACCGCAUACGGUCUGUGGAUGAAAGCAGGGGAUCUUCGGACCUUGUGCUAUUGGAAUGGCCGAUAUCUGAUUAGCUAGUUGGUAGGGUAAAAGCCUACCAAGGCGACGAUCAGUAGCUGGUCUGAGAGGACGACCAGCCACACUGGAACUGAGACACGGUCCAGACUCCUACGGGAGGCAGCAGUGGGGAAUUUUGGACAAUGGGGGCAACCCUGAUCCAGCAAUGCCGCGUGAGUGAAGAAGGCCCUCGGGUUGUAAAGCUCUUUUGUCAGGGAAGAAACGGAGUUCUCUAAUAUAGGAUUCUAAUGACGGUACCUGAAGAAUAAGCACCGGCUAACUACGUGCCAGCAGCCGCGGUAAUACGUAGGGUGCAAGCGUUAAUCGGAAUUACUGGGCGUAAAGCGUGCGCAGGCGGUUUUGUAAGUCUGAUGUGAAAUCCCCGGGCUCAACCUGGGAACUGCAUUGGAGACUGCAAGGCUAGAGUGUGUCAGAGGGGGGUAGAACUCCACGUGUAGCAGUGAAAUGCGUAGAGAUGUGGAGGAAUACCGAUGGCGAAGGCAGCCCCCUGGGAUAACACUGACGCUCAUGCACGAAAGCGUGGGGAGCAAACAGGAUUAGAUACCCUGGUAGUCCACGCCCUAAACGAU
This 807-nucleotide ribosomal RNA is filed under the name uncultured bacterium. RNAcentral's name for it is "bacterial SSU rRNA". It matches the Rfam family "Bacterial small subunit ribosomal RNA", at positions 8 to 810 of the family's 1533-position model. The record is from RNAcentral.